GAGGGUAUAGCUCAGUGGUAGAGCGUGUGCUUAGCAUGUGUGAGGUCCUGGGUUCAAUCCCCAGUCCCUCCA
Molecule: transfer RNA, 72 nt
Filed under: Camelus bactrianus (Bactrian camel)
Lineage: Eukaryota; Metazoa; Chordata; Mammalia; Artiodactyla; Camelidae
Also listed under: 2 other names
Rfam family: tRNA
About the family: Transfer RNA (tRNA) molecules are approximately 80 nucleotides in length. Their secondary structure includes four short double-helical elements and three loops (D, anti-codon, and T loops).
Source: Rfam by way of RNAcentral